RNAcentral lists this ribosomal RNA (468 nucleotides) under uncultured bacterium. RNAcentral's name for it is "partial 16S ribosomal RNA". It matches the Rfam family "Bacterial small subunit ribosomal RNA", at positions 28 to 507 of the family's 1533-position model. The record is from RNAcentral.
GACGAACGCUGGCGGCGUGCUUAACACAUGCAAGUCGAACGGAAAGGCCCUGCUUUUGUGGGGUGCUCGAGUGGCGAACGGGUGAGUAACACGUGAGUAACCUGCCCUUGACUUUGGGAUAACUUCAGGAAACUGGGGCUAAUACCGGAUAGGAGCUCCUGCUGCAUGGUGGGGGUUGGAAAGUUUCGGCGAUUGGGGAUGGACUCGCGGCUUAUCAGCUUGUUGGUGGGGUAGUGGCUUACCAAGGCUUUGACGGGUAGCCGGCCUGAGAGGGUGACCGGCCACAUUGGGACUGAGAUACGGCCCAGACUCCUACGGGAGGCAGCAGUGGGGAAUAUUGCACAAUGGGCGGAAGCCUGAUGCAGCAACGCCGCGUGCGGGAUGACGGCCUUCGGGUUGUAAACCGCUUUCGCCUGUGACGAAGCGUGAGUGACGGUAAUGGGUAAAGAAGAACCGGCUAACUACGUG